This is a long non-coding RNA of Orbicella faveolata, 1367 nucleotides long. RefSeq lists it as uncharacterized. Lineage: Eukaryota; Metazoa; Cnidaria; Anthozoa; Scleractinia; Merulinidae. The record is from RefSeq and is a predicted model, not a curated record.
CACUCGAAGAAAUAAUAAAAGAAACCCUAUUUUUAGUCGUGGAUACGCGAAGCGUUGAAACGACUAUUAGUAUGGCGCAAAAUAUGCAAUCCGCAAAUGUGUGACUCACUCAGAUGUAAACUUUCGGCCGAUAACAUGGAGAGCCUGGGUACAAGUUUCUCGAAGACCUUCAAAGUUGAGCGCGGCCAUUUUGAAUUUGGUUCUUGUGUUUCGCUUUUGUAAAUAUGUAGUAUUUUGCCUAGGGCUUUUGCUCACACGUAGAUGAAAGCUGAGAGAGGUAUUUAUGACUGUGAUCAUGUAUUGUUCACAACUGCGCGGCCGGCGAGGUCAAAGAAAUCGUGUUUACCAGACCUGGCUCAUAGCUUUUUUCUUGGCUAGAGGAUUUGUUGGUUUUCCUCUCGCUUUCUCUCCUUCUAGAGUCCAAGUUCGAUCAGAGUGAGCAUUUCUUCAUGAAUGGUAUACAAGUCAGUAUCGACGACUGAAUAAAUAUGCUCUAAAAUUUGAUUGAUGGAUAGACAAUUUAGCAUCCAAGAGACUAUGUAGAUCUACUUUCUGCGAGAGAGAUUAACUAUCAUGUCAAACACGAGCCAUGUCAAACAGGCAUAGUGGCUGGUGAUGUAUGUAUAAUCUUAAUUUUUUGUUCUAGAAACGAGAUACAGUCAAACCUGUAUAUAACGGUCCUGUAUAUAGCAGUCACCCUGUGUAUAACAGUCACUGAACAAUUUCCCAAAAAUUGUCCGUUAUAUUUACUGUUAAGUUGACCUGCAUAUAGCCGCCACCUUAUAUAAUGUACACGGUCACCCUUUAGACUUCCUGAAUCCACAAUUUCAUUAUCUUUUACUUGUAUAUAACAGUAACGGAAUUCAGUUACAAUUAACAAAUAACGACAAGCUUUAUUCAUCAGCUCAUUGAAUAGCAGCCACCAAGGCAGGGGUCUCACAAAAGUACAAAUAUUAGUACUAAACACAACUACUAAUACAGGUCAUCGCCUACAUCCGACACAUGCUUAAGGCAGGUCACAUUUAAGUGCCAUCGCUUUCAAACAAUAGUUAUUGUAACUGUAACAACACAACUGUACCACACUGACUUUGUCCUAAUUUCCUGAUUAUAACACUGUACUCUACUUAUCAAGUUAACAGCCGCGGUUUUACACUGUAUUAGGCUACUGUUUUAAAGACAAAGACAACGCUCGGCAUCAAAUUUCUCUUCUAUCAGCUUUUGAUGCAGCCACUCACAGGAGACUUAGAUCAAAGUAUACUGCACCUCCCUUAAAGUACACCACGGACAUUUUAUGGGCAUUUUUUUUUAUUGUGUUUAUUAUGUUGCUGUUAAUCGUUAUUGUCAAUAAAGCGUAAAUUGAGUGAUUA